Mobula hypostoma (lesser devil ray) is the source of this 658-nucleotide long non-coding RNA. RefSeq lists it as uncharacterized. The transcript has 3 exons. The record is from RefSeq and is a predicted model, not a curated record. NCBI's taxonomy places the organism in Eukaryota, Metazoa, Chordata, Chondrichthyes, Myliobatiformes, Myliobatidae.
GAACUGUAUCGGUUGCUUCCUGCUUUACUGGUAAUUCACAGGCAGUUUCAAGUGAAUUGGUGGACACCUGGCAUUCCUGAGAGUCAUCCAUCCUAUAAUUCCUCCUGAAUAAUUUCUGGUUGAAUGCAGGUUCAAUCCUAUUCCCCAGUACAAGAAGGAAAUUCAGAAAGGAGGUCUCCAGGCGUCCGUCUAUAGGCUUCUUUUGAAGACCCUGACCUCGAGUUACACGCUGACUUUGGUUCUUUGCGGAAAUGGGAUAUGUUCUCAGGGCCUCACGACUGGCCGCUUUUCAAUAGGACAAGGACGCGACCUGGAAGACUAGCACGCCUUUAGGGUGCCGGAUUUUCAUGGCUUUGGAGGUGAGUGGAGUCAAGGCCAGUGCCGCUGUCGUAGGAGUACAUGGAAGAUUGAAAGCAGCGAGCUGGCUGCUGGCUGUGUGCCCAGAGGCCCGAGUUCUUUGGGCACAGAGCUCGGAAAGAAUGACACAACAUACAUUUAACACCAUAAAUCAGCGAGUUGUUUAGUUAUGUCUUCCAUCUCGCUGUGAAACGGGGACAUCUCUUUUUUCCUUAUUAGGGAGAGAGAGAGAGCCUGUGUUAAGCCAAUUACUGGGUGAAUGAGUAGUCCUUGGGGUACUACAAGUCUGUGUCUUUAUUGA